RNAcentral lists this ribosomal RNA (425 nucleotides) under uncultured bacterium. RNAcentral's name for it is "partial 16S ribosomal RNA". It matches the Rfam family "Bacterial small subunit ribosomal RNA", at positions 354 to 796 of the family's 1533-position model. The record is from RNAcentral.
GUGGGGAAUAUUGCGCAAUGGGGGCAACCCUGACGCAGCAAUACCGCGUGAGUGAAGAAGGUUUUCGGAUCGUAAACUUCUAUCCUUGGUGAAGAUAAUGACGGUAGCCAAGAAGGAAGCCCCGGCUAACUACGUGCCAGCAGCCGCGGUAAUACGUAGGGGGCUAGCGUUGUUCGGAUUUACUGGGCGUAAAGCGCACGUAGGCGGAUCGUUAAGUCGGGGGUGAAAUCCUGGAGCUCAACUCCAGAACUGCCUUCGAUACUGGCGAUCUUGAGUCCGGAAGAGGUGAGUGGAACUCCUAGUGUAGAGGUGGAAUUCGUAGAUAUUAGGAAGAACACCAGUGGCGAAGGCGGCUCACUGGUCCGGUACUGACGCUGAGGUGCGAAAGCGUGGGGAGCAAACAGGAUUAGAUACCCCGGUAGUCC